CCUACGGGAGGCAGCAGUGAGGAAUAUUGGUCAAUGGGCGCUAGCCUGAACCAGCCAAGCCGCGUGAAGGAUGACUGCUCUCUGGGUUGUAAACUUCUUUUAUAUGGGAAUAAAGUGUAGUAUGUAUACUGCUUUGAAUGUACCUUAUGAAUAAGGAUCGGCUAACUCCGUGCCAGCAGCCGCGGUAAUACGGAGGAUCCGAGCGUUAUCCGGAUUUAUUGGGUUUAAAGGGAGCGUAGGCGGGUUGUUAAGUCAGUUGUGAAAGUUUCGGGCUCAACCCUGAAAUUGCAGUUGAUACUGGCAUUCUUGAGUGCAGGAGAGGUAGGCGGAAUGCGUGGUGUAGCGGUGAAAUGCUUAGAUAUCACGAAGAACACCGAUUGCGAAGGCAGCUUGCUGGACUGUAACUGACGCUGAUGCUCGAAAGUGUGGGGAUCAAACAGGAUUAGAUACCCGGGUAGUC
RNAcentral lists this ribosomal RNA (460 nucleotides) under uncultured bacterium. RNAcentral's name for it is "partial 16S ribosomal RNA". It matches the Rfam family "Bacterial small subunit ribosomal RNA", at positions 338 to 795 of the family's 1533-position model. The record is from RNAcentral.